Molecule: ribosomal RNA, 465 nt
Filed under: uncultured bacterium
Lineage: Bacteria
Description: partial 16S ribosomal RNA
Rfam family: Bacterial small subunit ribosomal RNA
Source: RNAcentral
GACGAACGCUGGCGGCGUGCUUAACACAUGCAAGUCGAACGGAAAGGCCCUGCUUGCAGGGUCCUCGAGUGGCGAACGGGUGAGUAACACGUGGGUGAUCUGCCCUGCACUUCGGGAUAAGCCUGGGAAACUGGGUCUAAUACCGGAUAGGAGCCAUUAUUAGUGUGAUGGUUGGAAAGUUUUUUCGGUGUAGGAUGAGCUCGCGGCCUAUCAGCUUGUUGGUGGGGUAAUGGCCUACCAAGGCGGCGACGGGUAGCCGGCCUGAGAGGGUGGACGGCCACAUUGGGACUGAGAUGCGGCCCAGACGCCGAAGGGAGGCAGCAGUGGGGAAGAUUGCACAAGGGGUGCAGGCCGGAUGCAGCGGCGCUGCGUGGGGGAUGACGGCCUUCGGGUUGUAAACAACUUUCGCGAGGGACGAAGCUUUUUGUGACGGUACCUAGAUAAGAAGCACCGGCUAACUACGUG